This is a long non-coding RNA of Nerophis lumbriciformis (worm pipefish), 1310 nucleotides long. RefSeq lists it as uncharacterized. The record is from RefSeq and is a predicted model, not a curated record. NCBI's taxonomy places the organism in Eukaryota, Metazoa, Chordata, Actinopteri, Syngnathiformes, Syngnathidae.
CUUCUCUCACUUUUGCACAACUUUCUCCUCAUCUUAUAGGACACUGCAGCACUUCUGCUUUGUUGGCCGAGUUUCCACCGCGCGGAGCAACUUCGCUCUUAGUUUGACGCCACUCCUUCUAUUCCAUUCAUCGUAUUCUAUGUUGUUUUUUUUCUACACGGGAAAGGAGCCUAGAACGAGCACAAUCAGGUGGCCAUGACAAGAUUAUGAGAAGCCAGUGAGGUCUGCAAAAGCAGCCAGAAUAUCUUCAGAUCUGGACUCAUUGAUGGCCACUUCAGAACUCUCCAGCGUUUUGUAUUCAGCCAUUUUUGUGUGCUUUUUGAAGUAUGCUUUGGAUCGUUGUCCUGCUGGAAGACCCAUGACCUCUGACGGAGACCCAGCUUUCUGACACUGGGCCCUACAUUAUGCCCCAAAAUUAUUUGGUAGUCCUCAGAGGCAUCCAGUACCAGAAACAGCAAAGCAACCCCGAAACAUCAGUGAACCUCCACCAUGUUUGGCUGUAGGUAUGGUGUUCUUUUCCUUGAAGGCCUCAUUUAGUUUUCUGUAAACAGUGUGAUGGUGUGCUUUACCAAAAAGCUCCACUUGAGUCUCAUCUGUCCACAGGACGUUCUCCCAGAAGGAUUUUGGCUUGCUCAGGGAAGUUUUUGCAAACUCCAGACUUGCUUUUUUUAUGUCUCCGUGUCAGCAGCGGGGUCCUCCUGGAUCUACCAUAGCAUCCCUUUUCAUUGAGAUGGCGACGGAUAGUGCGAGCGGACACUGUUCUAGCCUGUGUCUGCAGGUCAGCUUGAAUUUGUUUGGGAAAAGGAUCGAGGUUCUUUAUCCACAAUUCUAUCAAUCCUUUGUUGCAGUCUUUCAUGAAUGUUUCUCUUCGGUCCAUGUCCAGGGAGGUUAGCUACAGUGUCAUGGGCUUUAAACUUCUUGAUGACAUUGCACACAGUAGACACAGGAACAUUUAGAUCUCUGGAGAUGGACUCGUAGCCUUGAGAUUCUCCAUGCUUUUCCACAAUCUUGGUUCUUAAAUCUUCUGAGAGUUAUUUGUUCUUCUUUCUUUUCUCCAUGCUCAGUGUGGUACACACCACACAAAAGGUUGAGUCAACUUUUCUCCAUUUUAACUGGCCGCAAGUGUGAUUUCUAUAUUGCCAGCAUCUGUUACUUGCUACAGGUGAGUUUAAUUACAAACUAAAGGAGCAUCACAUGCUUAGAAUACAUGUAUUUCUUAUAAUUUUGAAAAACUGCCAAUUAUUUUGUCCAGUCCAUUUGUGGAGUUGUGUGUAAAAUAAUUUCAGAUUUGUUUUUUGGGGGGGGCAUGG